UGGGCUGUGCUACCGGUGGCCUCCUCCGUACUUGGUGGCCCAGUCCACCCGUCCGUGAACAGGCUGGAUAGGAGGAGGUCUGGACGAGGUGAUCUUCCCUCCACUGUUGCUGUUGAGGCUAGAAGAUCCAGGGAUCUGAGGAUUCGUGGACUUGGUCUUCCAUCCCUCGUACUCUGUCAGAUCAAAGAGGAGAAGUUGGAGCAGGAAGCUCAACACAACCCAGGAGUCUCAUUCUGUCUCCUCAACACAACCCAGGAGUCUCAUUCUGUCUCCUCAACACAACCCAGGAGUCUCAUUCUGUCUCCUCAACACAACCCAGGAGUCUCAUUCUGUCUCCUCAACACAACCCAGGAGUCUCAUUCUGUCUCCUCAACACAACCCAGGAGUCUUAUUCUGUCUCCUCAACACAACCCAGGAGUCUCAUUCUGUCUCCUCAACACAACCCAGGAGUCUCAUUCUCUCCUCAACACAACCCAGGAGUCUCCUUCUGUCUCCUCAACACAACCCAGGAGUCUCCUUCUGUCUCUUCAACACAACCCAGGAGUCUCCUUCUGUCUCCUCAACACAACCCAGGAGUCUCCUUCUGUCUCCUCAACACAACCCAGGAGUCUCAUUCUGUCUCCUCAACACAACCCAGGAGUCUCAUUCUGUCUCCUCAACACAACCCAGGAGUCUCAUUCUGUCUCCUCAACACAACCCAGGAGUCUCAUUCUGUCUCCUCAACACAACCCAGGAGUCUCAUUCUGUCUCCUCAACACAACCCAGGAGUCUCAUUCUGUCUCCUCAACACAACCCAGGAGUCUCAUUCUGUCUCCUCAACACAACCCAGGAGUCUCAUUCUGUCUCCUCAACACAACCCAGGAGUCUCAUUCUGUCUCCUCAACACAACCCAGGAGUCUCAUUCUGUCUCCUCAACACAACCCAGGAGUCUCAUUCUGUCUCCUCAACACAACCCAGGAGUCUCAUUCUGUCUCCUCAACACAACCCAGGAGUCUCAUUCUGUCUCCUCAACACAACCCAGGAGUCUCAUUCUGUCUCCUCAACACAACCCAGGAGUUUCAUUCAGGUCAACUAGGAAAAGAGUUCAGAAAGACAGAGGAAGUUAAGGAAACAAAGACAUGGAAGAUAGAGUAG
RNAcentral lists this long non-coding RNA (1134 nucleotides) under Oncorhynchus mykiss (rainbow trout). RNAcentral's name for it is "lncRNA (ENSOMYG00000049674.1)". Lineage: Eukaryota; Metazoa; Chordata; Actinopteri; Salmoniformes; Salmonidae. The record is from RNAcentral.